UACGUAGGGGCGAGCGUUGUCCGGAAUGAUUGGGCGUAAAGGGCGCGUAGGCGGCUGUGUAAGUCAGGAGUGAAAGUCCCGCUUUUAAGGUGGGAAUUGCUUUGAAAACUGAUGGGCUUGAGUGCAGGAGAGGUUAGUGGAAUUCCCGGUGUAGCGGUGAAAUGCGUAGAGAUCGGGAGGAACACCAGUGGCGAAGGCGACUAACUGGACUGUAACUGACGCUGAGGCGCGAAAGUGUGGGGAGCAAACAGGAUUAGAUACCCUGGUAGUCCCUGA
RNAcentral lists this ribosomal RNA (276 nucleotides) under uncultured prokaryote. Its description in RNAcentral is "partial 16S ribosomal RNA". It matches the Rfam family "Bacterial small subunit ribosomal RNA", at positions 524 to 800 of the family's 1533-position model. The record is from RNAcentral.